This is a transfer RNA of Felis catus (domestic cat), 85 nucleotides long. It matches the Rfam family "tRNA". Rfam says of the family: Transfer RNA (tRNA) molecules are approximately 80 nucleotides in length. Their secondary structure includes four short double-helical elements and three loops (D, anti-codon, and T loops). Further hydrogen bonds mediate the characteristic L-shaped molecular structure. tRNAs have two regions of fundamental functional importance: the anti-codon, which is responsible for specific mRNA codon recognition, and the 3' end, to which the tRNAs corresponding amino acid is attached (by aminoacyl-tRNA synthetases). tRNAs cope with the degeneracy of the genetic code in two manners: having more than one tRNA (with a specific anti-codon) for a particular amino acid; and 'wobble' base-pairing, i.e. permitting non-standard base-pairing at the 3rd anti-codon position. Lineage: Eukaryota; Metazoa; Chordata; Mammalia; Carnivora; Felidae. The record is from Rfam.
GUCUGGGUGGCUCAGUCGGUUAAGCGCCAGACUUUGGCUCAGGUCACGAUCUCAUGGUUUGUGGGUUCGAGCCCCACAUCAGGCU